CCCAGGGUUGGUGUGGCUGCGGCCACCCAGGCCCACCGUGUGGGCUCCACACUGGGCACGUCUGUGUAGAUGUCGGGGGCGUGGGCUGGCCCUGGGCUACGGCUUCUGGGGCGGCUCUGCAGUAAGCUCUUGUGGGGUACGGGAGGGUGUGUCAGCCCGCCAUGUGUGGUCCAGUGAGACCGCUCAGGCUCCUCUGUCCAACCCCCGCUUCCCUAAUUCUUUUGGAACCCUUUAGAAUCACCGAACCACCCUCCUUCUUAGCUCUGGUCCCCCUCAGGCCACUGAUCUCUUGGCCCGAGAGUCUACUCCCUCCUCCCUCUUCAAGCCCUGGGUUGUCUCCGAAUGUCGCCCGUGUGUGCCUGAGGCUGGGUGGUUCAAGCUGGCUAGGCAAAGGGAGUGGAGGGUGGUGGGGACAGAGCUCUCGGGGUGUGUGGGUGAAUUAGAGGGCCCUGCGGCUCACGGCACUGACCAGCCCCUGUGCGCCAACUCUGAGUCCAGCCCUCAGCAUGGCAGCUUCCUUGGAUCAGGCCGCUGGCCUCCUCAUGUCCAUCUUCCACCAGUACUCUGGCAGAGAGGGUGACCAGAACUUCCUGAGCAAGAGGGAGCUGCUCAUUGGUGAGAAACUGCAGAAGUCCGGAAUUGGAACGCUGAUGGCCGGCCUAGACCAGAGCAAAGACCAGGAACAUGACAUUGAACCAGACAAAAGGAUUACG
RNA transcript from Molossus molossus (Pallas's mastiff bat), 713 nucleotides. It is a transcript of the gene named S100 calcium binding protein A5, with no coding region annotated. The transcript has 3 exons. The record is from RefSeq and is a predicted model, not a curated record. Lineage: Eukaryota; Metazoa; Chordata; Mammalia; Chiroptera; Molossidae.